Molecule: ribosomal RNA, 218 nt
Filed under: uncultured prokaryote
Description: partial 16S ribosomal RNA
Rfam family: Bacterial small subunit ribosomal RNA
Source: RNAcentral
UACGGAGGCUCCAAGCGUUGUCCGGAUUUACUGGGUUUAAAGGGUGCGUAGGUGGACUUUUAAGUCAGUGGUGAAAGCCUGUAGCUUAACUAUAGAAUUGCCAUUGAAACUGAAAGUCUUGAGUACAGUUGAGGUGAGCGGAAUGUAUCAUGUAGCGGUGAAAUGCUUAGAUAUGAUACAGAACACCGAUUGCGAAGGCAGCUCACUAAACUGCAACU